UAUUUUGCUCCAAUAAGACUAGUCCUUCUAGUGUUAAACAUUUUAUUCUUGCCAAAAUACAAAUAUUCCCUUGAAGGAUUUAUACUUUUUAAGUUGGUUAUCAGCCAUUUAUACUUUUCUAUGCAUGAAUUCCAACUCCCUUUCUAAGAAAAAGAUUUAAAAGAAAUAAUUCAAUUCAAUAUUCAUUAAACUCACUAUGCCAUGGCACUGUGUAAAGUAUUUUGGGAAACAAAGGCAAAAAAUGAAAAAAAAAUCUCUGCCCUUAAGGAAGAAAGCAUAGGCAUACUGGUUCCAGGAGAGGUGUACAGGUGUAUUUGUUAAAGCAAACUCAAAUUUAUUUCCUCCCAAAGGGUAUGCAGAUUCUGUAAUAAAUGCCUUCUUGACUCUCAAGCUCAGCUGAUUGACUAGCCAUAUUCCAAGACUCCUACCCAAGUUCCCGGUAGGAUUGCUACUUUUCACCUUUUGAAGGAUGAUGAUUGAGGGCUUUCAACAUCCAAAGCUUUCUUUUGGUCCCACUAAAGGACAAGCCAAGAUGCAAGAUUGGGGAACUGUCUGUCAAUCAAGAAGAAGGUUCCAAAGGGAAUGUUCCCAGGAGAGGGAGCUGGGAGCCAUAGACAGGGAGAGAAACUGGGACUUGGGACUCUCUUUCUCUCUCUGGGGUUUUUUUGAACUGAGGAGACCUUGGCUUUGGGCUCUCUGACCAAAGGAGUAACUGAUUCUGUCUCUCUGGGGGUUGACUGAUCAAGAGAGAUUUCCUUGUUUUCUGGCUGAAGGGAGGAGAAGCUGAGAACUGAUCCCUGUUAGCUUCUGCCCCUGGCUGAAGAACCCUUGUGGUGGGGCUUGUGAAAUUAGGCUGAGAGACCUUUGGUGGUUUUGUGGAGAAGAAAAGAAGAAAGAAGAUUUAAAACAGUUGUCCUCCAUCUCUCUGGCUGUCCCUGAGUCACAAUUGUGACAAGACUGACAAUUUCCAUAACCGUCCUAAAUUCUCCUUAUAGAUUAGGGACACCUCUAUCCCCUUCACCUCAGUUUCCCAUUCUGUUGUUUCCCCAUAAACCCCUUACCUGAGAAAGAAAAAAGAGUAUCUUUAUAGUCCACUCAGGGGGGAGGGAGGAAGCCUAAGGCUUCAAGAAGUGAGGUGGUUAAAGGAGGGGAGUGAGGGAGGAGGAGGGUAGGAAAUAGAUUGAUCCAUUAGCCUUCAAAUAGGGAUCAGUAGGCAAACCCCAGAGCAUUCCCCUGUAGCAGUAUCUCUGAGCGUCUCACAAAGUACAUCCCCAAUGUAACAAGGCAUCCCUCAGGUGUGUCCCCAUACUAGCAGCUCUCUCCAGUCCCAAGCCAGAAUAUAUACCAGUUAGAGCAACAAGAAAUAGUCACACAGAUUAUCUUUUUUAUUACAAUAUAUAUACAUAUAUAUACAUUAUAUAUAAUAUGACUGUGGCAUAAGAAACUUCAUAUAAAGAGUUUAGAGAAGCAUGAUGAUUCAUAUGAACUAAUGUUUGGUGAAGUUGUUGGGACCACAAAAAAACAAUAUGCACAAAGGUAACAUUGUGAACCAAAAAAGAAAAUGAACAUUGUAUAAUUAUAAUUACCUGGUUGGGCUCUUAGGAGAUGAGAACAUGUAAUUUUCUCUUUUCUUUGUAGAGGUUAGUGUAGAUUGGAAUGUCACACUGAGUAUGCUGCCUGACUCAGGUAAUAAGUUGACU
Molecule: long non-coding RNA, 1700 nt
Filed under: Monodelphis domestica (gray short-tailed opossum)
Lineage: Eukaryota; Metazoa; Chordata; Mammalia; Didelphimorphia; Didelphidae
Description: lncRNA (ENSMODG00000044913.1)
Source: RNAcentral